RNAcentral lists this ribosomal RNA (779 nucleotides) under uncultured bacterium. RNAcentral describes it as "bacterial SSU rRNA". It matches the Rfam family "Bacterial small subunit ribosomal RNA", at positions 1 to 779 of the family's 1533-position model. The record is from RNAcentral.
UAGAGUUUGAUCCUGGCUCAGAUUGAACGCUGGCGGCAGGCCUAACACAUGCAAGUCGAGCGGUAACACAGAGAGCUUGCUCUCGGGUGACGAGCGGCGGACGGGUGAGUAAUGUCUGGGAAACUGCCUGAUGGGGGGGGAUAACUACUGGAAACGGUAGCUAAUACCGCAUAACGUCGCAAGACCAAAGUGGGGGACCUUCGGGCCUCAUGCCAUCAGAUGUGCCCAGAUGGGAUUAGCUAGUAGGUGGGGUAAUGGCUCACCUAGGCGACGAUCCCUAGCUGGUCUGAGAGGAUGACCAGCCACACUGGAACUGAGACACGGUCCACACUCCUACGGGAGGCAGCAGUGGGGAAUAUUGCACAAUGGGCGCAAGCCUGACGCAGCCAUGCCGCGUGUAUGAAGAAGGCCUUUGGGUUGUAAAGUACUUUCAGCGAGGAGGAAGGCAUUAAGGUUAAUAACCUUAGUGAUUGACGUUACUCGCAGAAGAAGCACCGGCUAACUCCGUGCCAGCAGCCGCGGUAAUACGGAGGGUGCAAGCGUUAAUCGGAAUUACUGGGCGUAAAGCGCACGCAGGCGGUCUGUCAAGUCGGAUGUGAAAUCCCCGGGCUCAACCUGGGAACUGCAUUCGAAACUGGCAGGCUAGAGUCUUGUAGAGGGGGGUAGAAUUCCAGGUGUACGGUGAAAUGCGUAAGAUCUGGAGGAAUACCGGUGGCGAACGCUGCCCCCUGCACAAAGACUGACGCUCAGGUGCGAAGACGUGAUGAGCUAACAGGCUU